RNAcentral lists this ribosomal RNA (393 nucleotides) under uncultured bacterium. RNAcentral describes it as "bacterial SSU rRNA". It matches the Rfam family "Bacterial small subunit ribosomal RNA", at positions 32 to 405 of the family's 1533-position model. The record is from RNAcentral.
AAUCAACGCUGGCGGCGUGCCUCAGACAUGCAAGUCGAACGCGAAAGUCCCCUUCGGGGGGCAAGUAGAGUGGCGCACGGGUGAGUAACACGUAGGUAAUCUACCUUUGGAUGGGGAAUAACAACCGGAAACGGUUGCUAAUACCGCAUAAUGCAGCGGCACCUAAUGGUGACAGUUGUUAAAGCGGGGGAUCGAAAGACCUCGCGUCUGAAGAGGAGCCUGCGGCGGAUUAGCAGUUGGUAAGGUAACGGCUUACCAAGGCAACGAUCCGUAGCCGGCCUGAGAGGGCGGUCGGCCACACUGACACUGACAUACGGGUCAGACUCCUACGGGAGGCAGCAGUCGGGAAUUUUGGGCAAUGGGCGAAAGCCUGACCCAGCAACGCCGCGUGAA